RNAcentral lists this ribosomal RNA (326 nucleotides) under uncultured eukaryote. RNAcentral's name for it is "partial 18S ribosomal RNA". It matches the Rfam family "Eukaryotic small subunit ribosomal RNA", at positions 1470 to 1796 of the family's 1831-position model. The record is from RNAcentral.
CCCUUAGAUGUUCUGGGCCGCACGCGCGCUACACUGAUGCAUUCAACAAGCCUAGCCUUGACCGAGAGGUCCGGGUAAUCUUUGAAACUGCAUCGUGAUGGGGCUAGAUUAUUGCAAUUAUUAAUCUCCAACGAGGAAUGCCUAGUAAGCGUGAUUCAUCAAAUCGCGUUGAUUACGUCCCUGCCCUUUGUACACACCGCCCGUCGCUCCUACCGAUUGAAUGUGUUGGUGAGGAGCUCGGAUUGGCAGCAGUUGGUGGUUCGCCACCGGCUAUUGCUGAGAAGUCCUCCAAACCGCCCCAUUUAGAGGAAGGAGAAGUCGUAACA